This is a long non-coding RNA of Zonotrichia leucophrys gambelii, 612 nucleotides long. RefSeq lists it as uncharacterized. The transcript is spliced from 3 exons. Lineage: Eukaryota; Metazoa; Chordata; Aves; Passeriformes; Passerellidae. The record is from RefSeq and is a predicted model, not a curated record.
ACUGGAAUGGCCUAACAGGAACAGAAAGCCAGGUUCUGCAGCUCCAUUGGGAAGCUAAGCCAGCUCUCCUGAUGCCAGGAUUAAACCAGCUGUGCAAAGGUGCACCUUAAUGCCAGCUUGUCUCAUCCACAAGGAUGUUGGGACAGCCAGCCAAAGCAGACCCUGCUGGCCCUGCUGUUUUCUGUUUCCUCAAAAUACCAAACCACUGUGGGCCCAGGCUGAUAGCAGAGGCUCCUGUUGGAAGCAGGACCUGUGAUGAACCACCUGGUGUCCUGGUCCCCUUCCUCGACAGACACCUAAAGUGCAGUAAAACCAGCUUGGCUCUGUCAAACACAGUUAUUGUCUAGCUACUGUGGAGGCACUGGUUGGACCUGGAGGAACUCUCCUCUGUGGAAAUUCUCUUGGGAUAUUCCUUUAUCCCUUCCUGGCUUCCUGUGGUUUGAGCUGAAACUCUCUCAGUGCUCCUCCACCCUUUGAACCUACAACAGACCUUCCUCAGCAAAUCUGCAGUCUGCUCAGUAUGUGCAACUGGAUUCUUUGGCCACUUGAUGUCUCUGUGGGUUGUGGAGAACUGUGGUAAAUGACAGAGGUCAUGCUGGAGCUGGAUGGAAG